RNAcentral lists this transfer RNA (73 nucleotides) under Desulfoluna spongiiphila. It matches the Rfam family "tRNA". From Rfam's summary of the family: Transfer RNA (tRNA) molecules are approximately 80 nucleotides in length. Their secondary structure includes four short double-helical elements and three loops (D, anti-codon, and T loops). Lineage: Bacteria; Pseudomonadati; Thermodesulfobacteriota; Desulfobacteria; Desulfobacterales; Desulfolunaceae. The record is from Rfam by way of RNAcentral.
GCCAAUGUAGCUCAGUUGGCAGAGCAGCUCACUCGUAAUGAGCAGGCCCGCAGUUCGAAUCUGCGCAUUGGCU